UACGUAGGGUGCAAGCGUUAAUCGGAAUUACUGGGCGUAAAGCGUGCGCAGGCGGUUCGGAAAGAAAGAUGUGAAAUCCCAGGGCUUAACCUUGGAACUGCAUUUUUAACUACCGGGCUAGAGUGUGUCAGAGGGGGGUGGAAUUCCACGUGUAGCAGUGAAAUGCGUAGAUAUGUGGAGGAACACCGAUGGCGAAAGCGCGAUACUGGGCCAUAACUGACGCUGAGGAACGAAAGCCAGGGGAGCGAAAGGG
RNAcentral lists this ribosomal RNA (253 nucleotides) under uncultured bacterium. RNAcentral's name for it is "partial 16S ribosomal RNA". It matches the Rfam family "Bacterial small subunit ribosomal RNA", at positions 524 to 776 of the family's 1533-position model. The record is from RNAcentral.